GGGCCGGUAGCGAAAGGGUAUCGCGUCCGCUUCGCACGCGGGAGGCUCUGGGUUCAAAUCCCAGCCGGUCCA
This 72-nucleotide transfer RNA is filed under the name Candidatus Woesearchaeota archaeon. RNAcentral's name for it is "tRNA-Ala". It matches the Rfam family "tRNA". From Rfam's summary of the family: Transfer RNA (tRNA) molecules are approximately 80 nucleotides in length. Their secondary structure includes four short double-helical elements and three loops (D, anti-codon, and T loops). Lineage: Archaea; Nanobdellati; Candidatus Woesearchaeota. The record is from RNAcentral.